UUUUCUGUCUCUAACAGGGUGAGUGGGUGUCUAUGGGCAUCUACUCCACUGGUAAUUCCUAUGGAGUUCCUGAUGACCUCAUGUACUCCUUCCCUGUUAUGAUCAAGAACAAGACCUGGAAGGUGGUUGACGGACUCUCCAUCAAUGAUUUCUCCCGCGGUAAGAUGGAUGGCACCGCCGCUGAGCUGGUGGAGGAGAGAGACACGGCACUCACCUUCCUUGGAGCGUGACUUGAUGUCUCCACAACAGCGCGGCAGCCGUUAGACUCUUCAAAGUCCCCAAAUCCCCGACUGUAAAGUCCUGUAGGUUUCACAGCUGACCGUGUGCGUGUGUGGAUAUUCAUGUCUCUUAACGUAUGCGUGUGUGUGUUAUUCACAAGAAACAUUUGCAAUGUAACUUCCUCUGCUUGAAGUGUCUGGGGCAACACCUGAAGAAGAACAUUUCUAAUUAAAACUGUUACGCACAUAGAUGUCCAGACCAAAAUAACGAUAAUCUGUCAUACAACAAUAAAAGGCCAUGUGGAAAAUGAA
Long non-coding RNA from Sinocyclocheilus rhinocerous, 530 nucleotides. RefSeq lists it as uncharacterized. Lineage: Eukaryota; Metazoa; Chordata; Actinopteri; Cypriniformes; Cyprinidae. The record is from RefSeq and is a predicted model, not a curated record. The transcript has 2 exons.